Molecule: ribosomal RNA, 334 nt
Filed under: uncultured bacterium
Lineage: Bacteria
Description: bacterial SSU rRNA
Rfam family: Bacterial small subunit ribosomal RNA
Source: RNAcentral
CGGCUAACUACGUGCCAGCAGCCGCGGUAAUACGUAGGCGGCAAGCGUUGUUCGGAAUUACUGGGCGUAAAGGGUGUGUAGGCGGUUCUCUAAGUCCGGUGUGAAAUCUCCGGGCUCAACUGGGAGGGUGCGCCCGAAACUGUAGGGCUUGAGUGUGGGAGAGGAAAGUGGAAUUCCCGGUGUAGCGGUGAAAUGCGUAGAUAUCAGGAGGAACACCUGUGGUGAAGGCGGCUUUCUGGACCAGUACUGACGCUGAGGCACGAAAGCUUGGGGAGCAAACAGGAUUAGAUACCCUGGUAGUCCACGCCCUAAACGAUGCAUACUUGGUGUGGGC